UUGCAUUUGCCGCCGGGUAAAUGCAAUUAAAAAGCAUUCGGAUUUCAUACCGUUAGGCCUUUGAAGGUAUGAAAGUCGGGUGUUUUUUUAU
RNAcentral lists this non-coding RNA (91 nucleotides) under unclassified sequences. The record is from RNAcentral.